This is a non-coding RNA of Triticum urartu, 126 nucleotides long. NCBI's taxonomy places the organism in Eukaryota, Viridiplantae, Streptophyta, Magnoliopsida, Poales, Poaceae. The record is from Rfam.
UUAGUACUCCCACCAUCCGGAAAAGCUUGUCUCAAGCUUGUUUCUCAAAUGGAUGUAUCUAUCACUAAUUUGAUGCUAAAUACAUCUAUUUGAGGGACAAGCUUUUUCGGACGGAAGGAGUACAAC